CUGGGAGAGAAGGUGACAGAGAGACGGGGAGAGAAGGUGACAGACAGGGUGAGAAGGUGACAGAGAGACUGGGAGAGAAGGUGACAGAGAGAUGGGGAGAGAAGGUGACAGAGAGACAGGGAGAGAAGGUGACAGAGAGACGGGGAGAGAAGGUGACAGAGAGACGGGGAGAGAAGUUGACAGAGAGAUGGGGAGAGAAGGUGACAGACAGGGAGAGAAGGUGACAGAGAGACUGGGAGAGAAGGUGACAGAGAGACUGGGAGAGAAGGUGACAGAGAGACGGGGAGAGAAGGUGACAGAGAGACGGGGAGAGAAGGUGACAGAGAGACAGGGAGAGAAGGUGACAGACAGGGAGAGAAGGUGACAGAGAGACUGGGAGAGAAGGUGACAGACAUGGAGAGAAGGUGACAGAGAGACUGGGAGAGAAGGUGACAGAGAGACGGGGAGAGAAGGUGACAGACAGGGAGAGAAGGUGACAGAGAGACUGGGAGAGAAGGUGACAGAGAGACGGGGAGAGAAGGUGACAGACAGGGUGAGAAGGUGACAGAGAGACUGGGAGAGAAGGUGACAGAGAGACGGGGAGAGAAGGUGACAGAGAGACAGGGAGAGAAGGUGACAGAGAGACAGGGAGAGAAGGUGACAGAGAGACAGGGAGAGAAGGUGACAGAGAGACGGGGAGAGAAGGUGACAGAGAGACAGGGAGAGAAGGUGACAGAGAGACGGGUAGAGAAGGUGACAGACAGGGUGAGAAGGUGACAGAGAGACUGGGAGAGAAGGUGACAGAGAGACAGGGAGAGAAGGUGACAGAGAGACGCGGAGAGAAGGUGACAGAGAGACGGGGAGAGAAGGUGACAGAGAGACAUGGAGAGAAGGUGACAGAGAGACAGGGAGAAAAGGUGACAGAGAGACAGGGAGAGAAGUUGACAGAGAGACAGGGAGAGAAGGUGACAGAGAGACAGGGAGAGAAGGUGACAGAGAGACGGGGAGAGAAGGUGACAGAGAGACAGGGAGAGAAGGUGACAGAGAGACGGGGAGAGAAGGUGACAGAGAGACAGGGAGAGAAGGUGACAGAGAGACAGGGAGAGAAGGUGACAGAGAGACAGGGAGAGAAGGUGACAGAGAGACAGGGAGAGAAGGUGACAGAGAGAUGGGGAGAGAAGGUGACAGACAGGGAGAGAAGGUGACAGAGAGACAUCCUGAGAGUUUACAGUCAAUAUGGUAGGAUAUUUAUGAGUUAAAUGAACCAUGUGUGACAGAGAGAGAGGGAGAGAAGGUGAGGAAGUUAAAGCGAGGGAAGAGAAAAGAAGAACUUCCAAAGAGGAGAGUUCAAGACUAAAGAAACACAAAUAUAUAUUAUAUUCAG
Molecule: long non-coding RNA, 1363 nt
Filed under: Salmo salar (Atlantic salmon)
Lineage: Eukaryota; Metazoa; Chordata; Actinopteri; Salmoniformes; Salmonidae
Description: lncRNA (ENSSSAG00000114284.1)
Source: RNAcentral